This 497-nucleotide ribosomal RNA is filed under the name uncultured bacterium. Its description in RNAcentral is "partial 16S ribosomal RNA". It matches the Rfam family "Bacterial small subunit ribosomal RNA", at positions 28 to 507 of the family's 1533-position model. The record is from RNAcentral.
GAUGAACGCUGGCGGCGUGCCUAAUACAUGCAAGUCGAGCGAACGGACGAGAAGCUUGCUUCUCUGAUGUUAGCGGCGGACGGGUGAGUAACACGUGGAUAACCUACCUAUAAGACUGGGAUAACUUCGGGAAACCGGAGCUAAUACCGGAUAAUAUUUUGAACCGCAUGGUUCAAAAGUGAAAGACGGUCUUGCUGUCACUUAUAGAUGGAUCCGCGCUGCAUUAGCUAGUUGGUAAGGUAACGGCUUACCAAGGCAACGAUGCAUAGCCGACCUGAGAGGGUGAGAGGCAACACGGGAGAUGAGAGACGGUAGAGACUACUGCGGGAGGCAGCAGGAGGGGUUCGUCAGCAAUGUGCGAGAGCCGAACGGAGCAAUGACGAGUGAGUAAUGAAGGGUUUCGGAUCGUACAACUCUGUGAUUAGGGAAAAACAGAUGUGUAAGUCAAUGUACACAUCGUCACGGUACCUAAUCAGAAAGCCACGGCUAACUACGUG